GACGAACGCUGGCGGCGUGCUUAACACAUGCAAGUCGAACGGAAAGGCCCUGCUUUUGUGGGGUGCUCGAGUGGCGAACGGGUGAGUAACACGUGAGUAACCUGCCCUUGACUUUGGGAUAACUUCUGGAAACUGGGGCUAAUACCGGAUAGGAGCUCCUGCUGCAUGGUGGGGGUUGGAAAGUUUCGGCGGUUGGGGAUGGACUCGCGGCUUAUCAGCUUGUUGGUGGGGUAGUGGCUUACCAAGGCUUUGACGGGUAACCGGCCUGAGAGGGUGACCGGCCACAUUGGGACUGAGAGACGGCCUAGACUCCUACGGGAGGCAGCAGUGGGGAAUAUUGCACAAUGGGCGGAAGCCUGAUGCAGCAACGCCGCGUGCGGGAUGACGGCCUUCGGGUUGUAAACCGCUUUCGCCUGUGACGAAGCGUGAGUGACGGUAAUGGGUAAAGAAGCACCGGCUAACUACGUG
Molecule: ribosomal RNA, 468 nt
Filed under: uncultured bacterium
Lineage: Bacteria
Description: partial 16S ribosomal RNA
Rfam family: Bacterial small subunit ribosomal RNA
Source: RNAcentral